AUCCUGGCUCAGGACGAACGCUGGCGGCGUGCCUAAUACAUGCAAGUCGAGCGCGGGAAGCAGACAGAUCUCCUUCGGGAGUGACGUUUGUGGAACGAGCGACGGAUGGGUGAGUAACACGUGGGCAACCUGCCUGUAAGACGGGGAUAACUCCGGGAAACCGGAGCUAAUACCGGAUGAUGUGUCAUAUCGCAUGAUAUGACGUUGAAAGAUGGCCUUGUGCUAUCACUUACAGAUGGGCCCGCGGCGCAUUAGCUAGUUGGUGAGGUAAGGGCUCACCAAGGCCACGAUGCGUAGCCGACCUGAGAGGGUGAUCGGCCACACUGGGACUGAGACACGGCCCAGACUCCUACGGGAGGCAGCAGUAGGGAAUCUUCCGCAAUGGACGCAAGUCUGACGGAGCAACGCCGCGUGAGUGAGGAAGGUUUUCGGAUCGUAAAGCUCUGUUGUUAGGGAAGAACAAGUAUCGUUCGAAUAGGGCGGUACCUUGACGGUACCUAACCAGAAAGCCACGGCUAACUACGUGCCAGCAGCCGCGGUAAUACGUAGGUGGCAAGCGUUAUCCGGAAUUAUUGGGCGUAAAGCGCGCGCAGGCGGUCCUUUAAGUCUGAUGUGAAAGCCCACGGCUCAACCGUGGAGGGUCAUUGGAAACUGGGGGACUUGAGUGCAGAAGAGGAGAGCGGAAUUCCACGUGUAGCGGUGAAAUGCGUAGAGAUGUGGAGGAACACCAGUGGCGAAGGCGGCUCUCUGGUCUGUAACUGACGCUGAGGCGCGAAAGCGUGGGGAGCGAACAGGAUUAGAUACCCUGGUAGUCCACGCCGUAAACGAUGAGUGCUAAGUGUUAGAGGGUUUCCGCCCUUUAGUGCUGAAGUCAACGCAUUAAGCACUCCGCCUGGGGAGUACGGUCGCAAGGCUAAAACUCAAAGGAAUUGA
RNAcentral lists this ribosomal RNA (933 nucleotides) under uncultured Virgibacillus sp. Its description in RNAcentral is "bacterial SSU rRNA". It matches the Rfam family "Bacterial small subunit ribosomal RNA", at positions 16 to 913 of the family's 1533-position model. The record is from RNAcentral. Lineage: Bacteria; Bacillati; Bacillota; Bacilli; Caryophanales; Bacillaceae.